RNAcentral lists this long non-coding RNA (552 nucleotides) under Malus domestica (apple). Its description in RNAcentral is "long non-coding RNA (MDOM_LNC008946)". Lineage: Eukaryota; Viridiplantae; Streptophyta; Magnoliopsida; Rosales; Rosaceae. The record is from RNAcentral.
UCACGAUUAACUCUACAAAAAUUAAAAACUAAAAACGAAAUAAUAAUCACGAUUAACUCUACAUUAUUGAGUUAUCAAUUUAAAAAGUGUCCAAGUUAAAGCCUGAUCUAUCCCGAGAGUUGAGAGGAUCCCGUUUGCCCAUAACCAUAAUGGUAGGUAAACCACAAAUCAUGAUUCCUCCCAAGCUGUGAAACACACAUUUUGGCGGUUUCUUUGGGCAAUAAUCAAUAAUUAAAGACAAAGAACCAAUAAUUAUAGCACGUGUCCAAAUCAGUGUUUACCAAACUUGUGCCUUGUGAUCUCCAAACCGGACACGUCUGGCCAUAGCAAGGAUACGUAUCCCUCCUAUCUAUGUGCCUGCUUCCCUGGAUUAUAUACAAUUUCGUGCAAUUAAACUAAAUUACAUUUCUAACUAUUACUUUAAUUUAGUAUUUUUUUCAUUUAUAAGUAAGAGAGUUAAAUUUAAAUACAUAAAUUACAAGAACGUCUAACAUUUGAAUUGUGUUGGGUACUUACAAGUAACUUCUUCCCAAAAUGGUAACUAGUUAUUUG